Molecule: long non-coding RNA, 316 nt
Filed under: Triticum aestivum (bread wheat)
Lineage: Eukaryota; Viridiplantae; Streptophyta; Magnoliopsida; Poales; Poaceae
Description: long non-coding RNA (TAES_LNC013133)
Source: RNAcentral
UCUGCCACAAUUUAUCUCUCAUCGCCGCUUCGCUCCCUCCUUCACAGCACCGCGCCUAAUAGGCUUCCCUCUCUCCUUGCCCUCUCUUGCCGCCGGAGCUCGACAUGUGAGGCGACGGCCAUUAUGGCUGCGGGGCGAUGGCAUCUUCCAGCGACGGCGCUGCAAGGCAGUGCGGGAUGUUGCAAGGCUGCGGUUCUUCCUUCCUUUUCCCUUCCCCCUUCCUCCCCUCGUUCUUCUUCUUCUCUCUCUCUCACACCGCGUCCCUCUUUCUCUGUUGCCUACAGGAGGCCGACGCCAAACUACAAGCAGCCGCCGC